RNAcentral lists this ribosomal RNA (450 nucleotides) under uncultured Glomeromycotina. RNAcentral describes it as "SSU rRNA". It matches the Rfam family "Eukaryotic small subunit ribosomal RNA", at positions 569 to 1021 of the family's 1831-position model. The record is from RNAcentral. Lineage: Eukaryota; Fungi; Glomeromycota.
AGCAGCCGCGGUAAUUCCAGCUCCAAUAGCGUAUAUUAAAGCUGUUGCAGUUAAAAAGCUCGUAGUUGAAUUUCGGAAUCUGUCCAUCGGUCGGGCUUCACUGUCCGUACUGGUGUGGUGGGUUCUUACCUUCUGAAUAACCAGCAUGCCAUUUAUUUGGUGCGUUGGGGAAGCAGGACUAUUACCUUGAAAAAAUUAGAGUGCUCAAAGCAGGCUAGUGCCUGAAUACAUUAGCAUGGAAUAAUAAAAUAGGACGGCAUGGUUCUAUUUUGUUGGUUUCUAGGAUCACCGUAAUGAUUAAUAGGGAUAGUUGGGGGCAUUAGUAUUCAAUUGUCAGAGGUGAAAUUCUUGGAUUUAUUGAAGACUAACUUCUGCGAAAGCAUUUGCCAAGGAUGUUUUCAUUAAUCAAGAACGAAAGUUAGGGGAUCGAAGACGAUCAGAUACCGUCGU